Molecule: non-coding RNA, 77 nt
Organism: Pelobates cultripes (western spadefoot toad)
Lineage: Eukaryota; Metazoa; Chordata; Amphibia; Anura; Pelobatidae
Source: the annotation of a GenBank genome assembly
AUACACACACUCUGCAUUAUAUACAUACUCUGCAUUAUAUACACAGAGUGUGUGUAUAUAAUGCAGAGUGUGUGUUU